Molecule: ribosomal RNA, 497 nt
Filed under: uncultured bacterium
Lineage: Bacteria
Description: partial 16S ribosomal RNA
Rfam family: Bacterial small subunit ribosomal RNA
Source: RNAcentral
GAUGAACGCUGGCGGCGUGCCUAAUACAUGCAAGUCGAGCGAACAGACGAGGAGCUUGCUCCUCUGACGUUAGCGGCGGACGGGUGAGUAACACGUGGAUAACCUACCUAUAAGACUUGGAUAACUUCGGGAAACCGGAGCUAAUACCGGAUAACAUGUUGAACCGCAUGGUUCAACAGUGAAAGACGGUUUUGCUGUCACUUAUAGAUGAAUCCGCGUCGCAUUAGCUAGUUGGUAAGGUAACGGCUUACCAAGGCAACGAUGCGUAGCCGACCUGAGAGGGUGAUCGGCCACACUGGAACUGAGACACGGUCCAGACUCCUACGGGAGGCAGCAGUAGGGAAUCUUCCGCAAUGGGCGAAAGCCUGACGGAGCAACGCCGCGUGAGUGAAGAAGGUCUUCGGAUCGUAAAACUCUGUUAUUAGGGAAGAACAAAUGUGUAAGUAACUAUGCACGUCUUGACGGUACCUAAUCAGAAAGCCACGGCUAACUACGUG